AUGGAGCUUUGUUGGCAAAAAUCAAUCCAUGGCUCUUAAAGAAGAAUGGAGGAUUGUGUGAGAGGGUCCUCACCCCUCACACUCCUCCUCCUCUUACAGUUUGCUUAUGCUUAGCCAUUGGCUUCUCUAAUCAUUAACCACAAAGGGUAUAUAUGGAGUAACAUGAUUCACUGAGUGGCAUGAAGCAGAGAAGCAUUCUCCAUAGGUCAGAGAAGCUUUGGCUACAGCCAGGCAAACCGGCAAGUCACAGAAAGGCAAUGGACUUUCUCUCAUUAAGGGGUCCU
This 284-nucleotide small RNA is filed under the name Phaseolus vulgaris (common bean). RNAcentral's name for it is "sRNA enod40". It matches the Rfam family "Early nodulin 40". The record is from Rfam by way of RNAcentral. Lineage: Eukaryota; Viridiplantae; Streptophyta; Magnoliopsida; Fabales; Fabaceae.